Molecule: ribosomal RNA, 497 nt
Filed under: uncultured bacterium
Lineage: Bacteria
Description: partial 16S ribosomal RNA
Rfam family: Bacterial small subunit ribosomal RNA
Source: RNAcentral
GACGAACGCUGGCGGCGUGCCUAAUACAUGCAAGUUGAGCGAUGAAGCUUGGUGCUUGCACCAAUUUGAAGAGCAGCGAACGGGUGAGUAACGCGUGGGGAAUCUGCCUUUGAGCGGGGGACAACAUUUGGAAACGAAUGCUAAUACCGCAUAACAACUUUAAACAUAAGUUUUAAGUUUGAAAGAUGCAAUUGCAUCACUCAAAGAUGAUCCCGCGUUGUAUUAGCUAGUUGGUGAGGUAAAGGCUCACCAAGGCGAUGAUACAUAGCCGACCUGAGAGGGUGAUCGGCCACAUUGGGACUGAGACACGGCCCAAACUCCUACGGGAGGCAGCAGUAGGGAAUCUUCGGCAAUGGACGAAAGUCUGACCGAGCAACGCCGCGUGAGUGAAGAAGGUUUUCGGAUCGUAAAACUCUGUUGGUAGAGAAGAACGUUGGUGAGAGUGGAAAGCUCAUCAAGUGACGGUAACUACCCAGAAAGGGGCGGCUAACUACAUG